ACUUAAUAGUUACAACUUUCAACAACGGAUCUCUUGGUUCUGGCAUCGAUGAAGAACGCAGCGAAWYGCGAUAAGUAGUGUGAAUUGCAGAAUUCAGUGAAUCAUCGAAUCUUUGAACGCACAUUGCCCCCUUGGUAUUCCAUGGGGCAUGCCUGUUCGAGCGUCAUUUGUACCUUCAAGCUCUGCUUGGUGUUGGGUGUUUGUCUCGCCUCUGCGCGUAGACUCGCCUCAAAACAAUUGGCAGCCGGCGUAUUAUUUCGGAGCGCAGUACAUCUCGCGCUUCGCACUCACAACGACGACGUCCAAAAGUACAUUUUUUCACUCUUGACCUCGGAUCAGGUAGGGAUACCCGCUGAACUUAAGCAUAUCAAUAAGCGGAGG
RNAcentral lists this ribosomal RNA (381 nucleotides) under Didymella pinodella. RNAcentral's name for it is "eukaryotic LSU rRNA". The record is from RNAcentral. Lineage: Eukaryota; Fungi; Ascomycota; Dothideomycetes; Pleosporales; Didymellaceae.